This 225-nucleotide long non-coding RNA is filed under the name Setaria italica (foxtail millet). RNAcentral's name for it is "long non-coding RNA (SITA_LNC002897)". Lineage: Eukaryota; Viridiplantae; Streptophyta; Magnoliopsida; Poales; Poaceae. The record is from RNAcentral.
CAGCCCCCCCGCAACCCGCCCCGUCUGCAUCUCUAGUCGACAGUGAACCCGCUCCCCGGCGAGAUUAGCAUCAGAACGGCGCGAGCGGAUGGUGGAAGGGGAGGCUCGGCCGACGAUGUUGGAGGGAGCGGAGCAGGCGGCUGAGGACGAAGCGCGGCCUCCCGCGGCAGAUCCGCAGCGAGCUUGGGGCGGCCUCCCGCUCCCGCCCCACGGCCUACCAGCGCC